Long non-coding RNA from Siniperca chuatsi (mandarin fish), 4448 nucleotides. RefSeq lists it as uncharacterized. NCBI's taxonomy places the organism in Eukaryota, Metazoa, Chordata, Actinopteri, Centrarchiformes, Sinipercidae. The record is from RefSeq and is a predicted model, not a curated record. The transcript is spliced from 3 exons.
AUGCAUGUGUACACACCCCACUCUCACUGUUAAUCCUUCUCACUGCCUUUUUACUUUCUGUCUGUCCAUCAACAUCAUCAUAAUAUAUUUUCACUCUGUGUGUGGGUUUCCCUCAUUUUUGUAUCUGUCGUUGCUCUCUCUCUCUGUUGCAUGAGAAAAAUUAUGAUGCACUGCAUUCCUUUAUAUUCCAUCUGGCAUUCUCUCAAUCUGUAUUUAUUUAUCACUAACUACUGCUUUCUGUAUUUGUUUCCAAAUAAAUAUAAAGCAAAUUCUAAUGCAUAAUAUGGGAGUAUAUAAAUGUCUUUCAACUAAUUGUUUUGGUUAACAGCCCACAACCUUACUGUUCUGCCUCUCACCAUUCUCAUCAACCUCGUUUCCAGCAGCAGCUUUUUUGUAGUAAAAAAAACAAUGUCAGCGUGUUUUUUAAAUGGAAGUAAAAAGGUCUUUGGAUAAAUAUCAGAAAUGCUCCUUUUUGUCUCAGCUGGCUGGAGGGGCGUGUCUGUGUUUGAUUGACAGCAGCUGGUAGGCUGCCAGAGUGCCGUUGUUAACACCUUAGGGAAGAGUAAACAAACUAGUUUAUGACAUGGGCAGACGGCAUGUUGUUAGUGGUAUAGAAGAGUAAGGACCACACCAGCGUCUCACCGGAAUGAAGUGACAUUUGCAGAAGUCCGGCCUGCCAGUCUGCUUGCUCACCCGCUACCUCCGCCGGCCACACCGCCUUGCCGUUCUCCAUUCCUCCUCUCUGCCAUAACCAGCUAUCCUGUCUUCUCAACCGCACUAUUGUAAUUAUUCAAUAAAUCUGUCAAACAUCUGCCUCCUAGUCUGUGUUCUGUGUUUGGGUCCACUUUUGAACAUAACCUAACAAAAUGAUGUGCUACAUUUCAGGGUAUUUAGCAUUUGGCUGUCACUAUUUGGUUCACAGAGGGACACACUGUCCUUAUUAGAAACGGUGAUCAGUUUGCCACUUUAUUUUAUUUAUUUUGUUGUUUAUUUUUUUGUCAGUCAGGUUAUUGUUGUGUGGUACCAACUGUAGCAUACAAGCAAGGGCUGUUUCUAAAAACUCUUCUUGGUGUUGUAUUCAAGAAUACAACAACAAGAAUUAAUAGUCAGAUGCCAAAGUACUACUUUGACAAGCUAUGUUGUCGGGACUAAGCAUAUAUGGAUGUAGAAUUGCACAAGUAAAUUUGCACAUUUCUUAUAUUAAAAUGCAGCUGAAAUCUCUGAUACUAGGUAUUCACAAAAUAAAGGUGUGCAUUUUUUUCACUGUGAUGGAUGGAUUACCGACCACUAGCACAUCUGAAGCCUCUGCAAGCGUCACUAAAAAUAGUGGAAGGCAAUGGCUGCUUGGAAUGUAGGACAUAAAAAAAAAAAGUUUCACGUGCUUUAAAAAAUGGUUGGUAUUUAUACAAAUCAUUUUAGUUAAAGAGCUGAAUUAUGCUAAAAAAAAUGUUACUAUGGUCCUUUAAAUAAUUUUGAUGCCAUGACCAGAGGUAGCCUAGCUGUCUGAUCUUUGGUGACAGAGCCUUUAUCCCCUAUGGAUAAAGGCUCCAACCUUUAAACAACGUCAAAGGUUGUACUAUCCAGCUACUGUUUCUACUAAAGAGCAUAAGCCCACUGUCAAUGCCCGUGCUUUGUUCCACAAACUGACUGAACAGCAAAUACUUAUGUUUCUGUUACUUCUGCAUCUCAAACAUGCUGUCAUAUCUAUCUAUCUAUCUAUCUAUCUAUCUAUCUACACAUGAAGGAAAUGGCUCGAUGGAUUAACAGUGCAUAAACAGCAAAUUACUUGGAUUUGUGGAGUCCAAGUAAUUUGGAUUUGUGGAGAUAUAAAUAACUUGUGGAGAUGUAAAUGUUACAUCAUAUCAUUUGUAAAAUUACAAAUCAAUAACUAUUUUGUCUUUGCUUAAAGGUUAGGCCAUCACUAUCACUGAAAAAUAAUAAUAAUAAUUUUAUCUCUCCCUGUAUUGUCAUCUGCCACAUGUAGGAAUGUGUAAAUGGUGUCCUUUCUUCACUAAAGAAAUAAAAUAAAUAAGGGUAUCUUCACUCAGCACUCUUCUCAUUAUAAAACAUUUGUUCUGCUCAAAAACCCCUGUUUUUAAUGCUGGUGUUUACUAGGAAGUGGUGCAUUUAUUUCAGUUUAAUCCCUCUCUCUGGCCGACCAGGGCGGUCAGAUGACAGGCGCUAAUCUCUGGAUGCCUGCUUGCCUGACUGACUGCCUUCUUACUAAUAUGGGAUUAAAACCUAGCACGUCUCCAACAUGUAGCAGGCAGGCCCGUAGUUACCAUUGAGGACACCGAGGUCAUGUCCUUCUGUAUUUUUUCUGGGUCUUUUUAAAUUUUUUAAUGUAUAUCUUAAAAUCUUAAAUUAAAGUGACAAGUGCUAAAACUACUUAGUUGUGAACAAAGGUUGGCAUCAUCUCGCCAGCACAGCUUGUUACGUUGUAUGUGACAUACAUGUAAUGAGUUGCACGUGUACGUUACGGUCCUGUCAUUCAGUUUACUCUGUGGGCCAGGGGGCUGUAACCUACAUACACGCAACACUUACUACAAGAUCAGUCAACACUGUUUGAAUACAGGUUGCACCUUCAACGCACACACAACUGGCCUUAUGAAUAUUGUAUUGAUAAUUUAAGAACUGUUGUGAUUUUGGAGUUUAGUUGUUAUUUCCUGUUUUAUUUUGUAAGUGUUCUGCCUCAUGUGUCUUGUGUACACUUACUUCUUAUCUGUGUUUGCUUCUCUGAUUGUUUGCCCAGCCCUGAUUAGUUUCACCUGUGUCUCAUUUUCUCCUUUCACCUGAGUGUAUUUUAGUCUGUGUUCUUUGUCAUCUGUCUCCAAUGUUCUUGGACUUCCUACCUGCUACCUUACAGAUUUAUGUUUAGCUGUUUGGACUGCCUUUUGAAUUUGAUCUCUGCCUGCCUCAGUAAGUCUCCAGCGGCCUCUCCUCUCCUGUCCUGCCUGCUUCACCACACGAGUCAGCUUUCCUUCCAGUCCAGCCUACCACAACAGCUGCCUUGCCGGUUCUGCCAAUCACUACUACUACACAAGCCAAGACGGAACCUACUCCGCCCGUCUCUGUCCCCGGAGCCUCGCCGCUCUGGAAAAGCUCAGAUCCCCCAGUGAUUGCUUGCAGUAUAUAAUAAAAACUGAUGCUACCUCAUCCAAGUACCACCUCCUUGUGUUCUGCAUUUGGGUUUUUAAAUCGUGCACAUAACAGCUAAAGAUUUUGGAAUGACAAGAUUUCCUAAUUCCCUUUGCUCUCAUGCUGCACCUUCAUGUAUCAGAAUCUUUGAACAGGAAAUGAGGCACAGGUGUGUGUGUGUGUGUAUGUCCAGUGAUUUAUUACCAAAAUGUUUAAGUGAUACCUCUUAUCACUAUAAUUCAUUGAUGAAAUAAUAUAUCUAAUUUAAUUGCAAACAAUUACCUUUAUAGUAUUUUAAUGGGCAUAUUAUGUAUUGGUAUAUUUAAUUAAAAAAAUAUUUGGCCUAUGUAUCUUUACAACAAUUUAUACAACUUCCUUUUUCUUCAUCUGUGGAAUAUGUUAGUAGUAAUUUUUUUUUUUUUAUACAAAGAUGUUUGAAUCAAAUUGUAAUUUUCCAAGUCAAACAUUUUCCAGCACCUAUUUCUUUCCUUGUAUUGAACCAACACCAUUUUUGGUGGUUGUUGCAAUCACCAAAUUAAACAUUAUGUCCCUGACUGGCUACUCCACACCCAAGAGUUUUUAAAAAAAUAAAAAAAAAAAAAAUAAUACUGAAGCGUAACUAUUUUUUUUUCACUGGCAUGCCAUGUGUAACCUUUAGAUUAUGGCUUAUUGUUUGGAUGAACUUGAGUAAUGAGUGUUAAAACAAUUUCAGGCAAAACCUGAAAGAUACUGCAGUUGUGCUCCUCUGCUCAAUUUGUUUGACAGUGAUAUCAAUUCAGUAAGAAACUGAAGACUAAUUUCAAAAUUGGCUGUAUUUUUGAUUUAUCUUGCGUUGGAUUCUAGUCCAAUGUCCAUCUAUGUGUUGGCACUGACAUUAUUUCCUAAAUGAUUAUUACUCUUAAAAUACAUAACUUAUACUAUAAUCUUCACAAUUUUCUUUGAGGAGCAUGCCCCAAGCCCCCCUAGCAGGGCUAGGACUCAUGACCUUAGUAUUUCUAAAAUCCUGGCUAUGGCUCUCAACACAACAAGUAGAGUGAGGAUGAGCUGUGUCACCUCUUACCCCUUUCAUUCUCUCUUAGCCCUCUUUCUUUAUGUUUGUGUUUAUUCUCUAAUGUAAUAUUUCAAGCACUUGAUGUCAGAUUUUUAACUUGCAUUGAUAAACCUGAGUAGCCUUCCACAAUUACACUUUAUUUUGACCAUCAAGCAAGGUGCAACAAAUUCCUGUAAGAACACAUUUGCAGGUAUGACAUUUAUAUUAUGUUCAAGAAUAAAAUCUAUAUAUUUUUUAAUAUAUUAAAAUUUUUAAUUUA